GGAUCAGUAGGUUGGUCGUGCCACCGGUACGUACUGGUCUCACUGAUUCCUCCUUCCUGAAGAACCGUAAUGCCAUUAAUUUGGUGUUGCGGGGAAACAGGACUGCUACUUUGAAAAAAUUAGAGUGUUUAAAGCAAGCUAACGCUUGAAUACAUUAGCAUGGAAUAAUGUAAUAGGACGAUCGAUCCUAUUUUGUUGGUUUCUAGGAUUGACGUA
This 216-nucleotide ribosomal RNA is filed under the name Glomeromycotina sp. RNAcentral describes it as "partial small subunit ribosomal RNA". The stretch from base 40 to 216 matches the Rfam family "Eukaryotic small subunit ribosomal RNA", at positions 686 to 864 of the family's 1831-position model. Lineage: Eukaryota; Fungi; Glomeromycota. The record is from RNAcentral.